CCAGAGGUGUAGAUGUCUGGCUUCAGAAAGUAAAAGUCCUGCCACAUUUUGGUUCCUACCAUUCACUUAAUCAGGAGAUUCUAAUUAGCACAGUUCUUAAGCCAGGUAGGUCAGCUAGUUAGUGAAAUCACAUGUGUUAAGUGCACAAGUAAAACCCAUACAUGGGAGGAUUUUUACUUUCUAAAGCCGGACUU
This is a long non-coding RNA of Alosa sapidissima (American shad), 194 nucleotides long. RefSeq lists it as uncharacterized. The record is from RefSeq and is a predicted model, not a curated record. The transcript is spliced from 4 exons. NCBI's taxonomy places the organism in Eukaryota, Metazoa, Chordata, Actinopteri, Clupeiformes, Clupeidae.